UACGUAGGGGGCAAGCGUUGUCCGGAAUCAUUGGGCGUAAAGAGCGUGUAGGCGGCCCGGUAAGUCUGUUGUGAAAGUCCAGGGCUCAACCCUGGAAUGCCGAUGGAUACUGCCGGGCUAGAGUUCGGAAGAGGCGAGUGGAAUUCCUGGUGUAGCGGUGGAAUGCGCAGAUAUCAGGAGGAACACCUAUAGCGAAGGCAGCUCGCUGGGACGACACUGACGCUGAGACGCGAAAGCGUGGGUAGCAAACAGG
RNAcentral lists this ribosomal RNA (253 nucleotides) under uncultured bacterium. RNAcentral describes it as "partial 16S ribosomal RNA". It matches the Rfam family "Bacterial small subunit ribosomal RNA", at positions 524 to 776 of the family's 1533-position model. The record is from RNAcentral.